UUAAGCGACUAAGCGUACACGGUGGAUGCCCUGGCAGUCAGAGGCGAUGAAGGACGUGCUAAUCUGCGAUAAGCGUCGGUGAGGUGAUAUGAACCGUUAUAACCGGCGAUUUCCGAAUGGGGAAACCCAGUGUGUUUCGACACACUAUCAUUAACUGAAUCCAUAGGUUAAUGAGGCGAACCGGGGGAACUGAAACAUCUAAGUACCCCGAGGAAAAGAAAUCAACCGAGAUUCCCCCAGUAGCGGCGAGCGAACGGGGAGGAGCCCAGAGCCUGAAUCAGUGUGUGUGUUAGUGGAAGCGUCUGGAAAGGCGCGCGAUACAGGGUGACAGCCCCGUACACAAAAAUGCACAUGCUGUGAGCUCGAUGAGUAGGGCGGGACACGUGGUAUCCUGUCUGAAUAUGGGGGGACCAUCCUCCAAGGCUAAAUACUCCUGACUGACCGAUAGUGAACCAGUACCGUGAGGGAAAGGCGAAAAGAACCCCGGCGAGGGGAGUGAAAAAGAACCUGAAACCGUGUACGUACAAGCAGUGGGAGCCUCUUAAUGGGGUGACUGCGUACCUUUUGUAUAAUGGGUCAGCGACUUAUAUUCUGUAGCAAGGUUAACCGAAUAGGGGAGCCGAAGGGAAACCGAGUCUUAACUGGGCGUUAAGUUGCAGGGUAUAGACCCGAAACCCGGUGAUCUAGCCAUGGGCAGGUUGAAGGUUGGGUAACACUAACUGGAGGACCGAACCGACUAAUGUUGAAAAAUUAGCGGAUGACUUGUGGCUGGGGGUGAAAGGCCAAUCAAACCGGGAGAUAGCUGGUUCUCCCCGAAAGCUAUUUAGGUAGCGCCUCGUGAAUUCAUCUCCGGGGGUAGAGCACUGUUUCGGCAAGGGGGUCAUCCCGACUUACCAACCCGAUGCAAACUGCGAAUACCGGAGAAUGUUAUCACGGGAGACACACGGCGGGUGCUAACGUCCGUCGUGAAGAGGGAAACAACCCAGACCGCCAGCUAAGGUCCCAAAGUCAUGGUUAAGUGGGAAACGAUGUGGGAAGGCCCAGACAGCCAGGAUGUUGGCUUAGAAGCAGCCAUCAUUUAAAGAAAGCGUAAUAGCUCACUGGUCGAGUCGGCCUGCGCGGAAGAUGUAACGGGGCUAAACCAUGCACCGAAGCUGCGGCAGCGACACUAUGUGUUGUUGGGUAGGGGAGCGUUCUGUAAGCCUGUGAAGGUGGCCUGUGAGGGUUGCUGGAGGUAUCAGAAGUGCGAAUGCUGACAUAAGUAACGAUAAAGCGGGUGAAAAGCCCGCUCGCCGGAAGACCAAGGGUUCCUGUCCAACGUUAAUCGGGGCAGGGUGAGUCGACCCCUAAGGCGAGGCCGAAAGGCGUAGUCGAUGGGAAACAGGUUAAUAUUCCUGUACUUGGUGUUACUGCGAAGGGGGGACGGAGAAGGCUAUGUUGGCCGGGCGACGGUUGUCCCGGUUUAAGCGUGUAGGCUGGUUUUCCAGGCAAAUCCGGAAAACCAAGGCUGAGGCGUGAUGACGAGGCACUACGGUGCUGAAGCGACAAAUGCCCUGCUUCCAGGAAAAGCCUCUAAGCAUCAGGUAACAUCAAAUCGUACCCCAAACCGACACAGGUGGUCAGGUAGAGAAUACCAAGGCGCUUGAGAGAACUCGGGUGAAGGAACUAGGCAAAAUGGUGCCGUAACUUCGGGAGAAGGCACGCUGAUAUGUAGGUGAAGCGACUUGCUCGUGGAGCUGAAAUCAGUCGAAGAUACCAGCUGGCUGCAACUGUUUAUUAAAAACACAGCACUGUGCAAACACGAAAGUGGACGUAUACGGUGUGACGCCUGCCCGGUGCCGGAAGGUUAAUUGAUGGGGUUAGCGGUAACGCGAAGCUCUUGAUCGAAGCCCCGGUAAACGGCGGCCGUAACUAUAACGGUCCUAAGGUAGCGAAAUUCCUUGUCGGGUAAGUUCCGACCUGCACGAAUGGCGUAAUGAUGGCCAGGCUGUCUCCACCCGAGACUCAGUGAAAUUGAACUCGCUGUGAAGAUGCAGUGUACCCGCGGCAAGACGGAAAGACCCCGUGAACCUUUACUAUAGCUUGACACUGAACAUUGAGCCUUGAUGUGUAGGAUAGGUGGGAGGCUUUGAAGUGUGGACGCCAGUCUGCAUGGAGCCGACCUUGAAAUACCACCCUUUAAUGUUUGAUGUUCUAACGUUGGCCCCUAAUCGGGGUUGCGGACAGUGUCUGGUGGGUAGUUUGACUGGGGCGGUCUCCUCCUAAAGAGUAACGGAGGAGCACGAAGGUUGGCUAAUCCUGGUCGGACAUCAGGAGGUUAGUGCAAUGGCAUAAGCCAGCUUGACUGCGAGCGUGACGGCGCGAGCAGGUGCGAAAGCAGGUCAUAGUGAUCCGGUGGUUCUGAAUGGAAGGGCCAUCGCUCAACGGAUAAAAGGUACUCCGGGGAUAACAGGCUGAUACCGCCCAAGAGUUCAUAUCGACGGCGGUGUUUGGCACCUCGAUGUCGGCUCAUCACAUCCUGGGGCUGAAGUAGGUCCCAAGGGUAUGGCUGUUCGCCAUUUAAAGUGGUACGCGAGCUGGGUUUAGAACGUCGUGAGACAGUUCGGUCCCUAUCUGCCGUGGGCGCUGGAGAACUGAGGGGGGCUGCUCCUAGUACGAGAGGACCGGAGUGGACGCAUCACUGGUGUUCGGGUUGUCAUGCCAAUGGCACUGCCCGGUAGCUAAAUGCGGAAGAGAUAAGUGCUGAAAGCAUCUAAGCACGAAACUUGCCCCGAGAUGAGUUCUCCCUGAGACUUAGAGUCUCCUGAAGGAACGUUGAAGACGACGACGUUGAUAGGCCGGGUGUGUAAGCGCAGCGAUGCGUUGAGCUAACCGGUACUAAUGAACCGUGAGGCUUAACCUU
RNAcentral lists this ribosomal RNA (2902 nucleotides) under Escherichia coli. Its description in RNAcentral is "bacterial LSU rRNA". It matches the Rfam family "Bacterial large subunit ribosomal RNA". Lineage: Bacteria; Pseudomonadati; Pseudomonadota; Gammaproteobacteria; Enterobacterales; Enterobacteriaceae. The record is from RNAcentral.